UGCAAGUCGAACGCGAAAGUUCCGCAAGGGAUGAGUAGAGUGGCAAACGGGUGAGUAACACGUGGGUGACCUGCCUUCGAGCGGGGGAUAACGUCCCGAAAGGGACGCUAAUACCGCAUGACAUCCUGCCUUUGGAGAGGUGGAGGUCAAAGCCGGGGACCGCAAGGCCUGGCACUUGAAGAGGGGCCCGCGCCUGAUUAGCUAGUUGGUGGGGUAAUGGCUCACCAAGGCAACGAUCAGUAUUCGGCCUGAGAGGGCGGACGGACACACUGGGACUGAGACACGGCCCAGACUCCUACGGGAGGCAGCAGUGGGGAAUUGUUCGCAAUGGGCGCAAGCCUGACGACGCAACGCCGCGUGGAGGAUGAAGACCUUCGGGUCGUAAACUCCUUUCGAUCGAGACGAAUGGUCUCUGGGUGAAUAAUCCGGAGAAGUGACAGUACCGAGAGAAGAAGCCCCGGCUAACUCCGUGCCAGCAGCCGCGGUAAUACGGGGGGGGCAAGCGUUGUUCGGAAUUACUGGGCGUAAAGGGCUCGUAGGCGGCCAACUAAGUCAGACGUGAAAUCCCUCGGCUUAACCGGGGAACUGCAUCUGAUACUGGAUGGCUUGAGUUCGGGAGAGGGAUGCGGAAUUCCAGGUGUAGCGGUGAAAUGCGUAGAUAUCUGGAGGAACACCGGUGGCGAAGGCGGCAUCCUGGACCGACACUGACGCUGAGAGCGAAAGCCAGGGGAGCAACGGGAUUAGAUACCCCGGUAGUCCUGGCCCUAAACGAUGAAUGCUUGGUGUGCGGGUAUCGAUCCCUGCCGUGCCGAAGCUAACGCAUUAAGCAUUCCGCCUGGGGAGUACGGUCGCAGGCUGAAACUCAAAGGAAUUGACGGGGGCCCGCACAAGCGG
Molecule: ribosomal RNA, 894 nt
Filed under: uncultured Acidobacteriota bacterium
Lineage: Bacteria; Pseudomonadati; Acidobacteriota
Description: bacterial SSU rRNA
Rfam family: Bacterial small subunit ribosomal RNA
Source: RNAcentral